Molecule: ribosomal RNA, 421 nt
Filed under: uncultured bacterium
Lineage: Bacteria
Description: partial 16S ribosomal RNA
Rfam family: Bacterial small subunit ribosomal RNA
Source: RNAcentral
AAUAUGUUACAAUGUGGGCAACCCUGAUCCAGCCAUGCCGCGUGUGUGAAUAAGGACUUCGGUUUGUCAAGCACUUUAAGUUGGGAGGAAGGGAGUUAGGUUAAUACCAUGAAGUUUUGACGUUACCACCAGAAUAAGUACCGGCGAACUCUCUGCCAGCAGCCGCGGUAAUACAGAGGGUGCAAGCGUUAAUCGGACUUACUGGACGUAAGGCGCGCGUAGGUGGUUCAGUAAGAUGGGUGUGAAAUCCCCGGGCUUAACCUGGGAACUGCUUUCAUAACUGCUGAGCUAGAGAACGGUAGAGGGUAGUGGAAUUUCCUGUGUAGCGGUGAAAUGCGUAGAUAUAGGAAGGAACACCAGUGGCGAAGGCGACUACCUGGACUGAUACUGACACUGAGGUGCGAAAGCGUGGGGAGCAAAC